This 499-nucleotide ribosomal RNA is filed under the name Dolichospermum spiroides 7RO37S1. RNAcentral describes it as "bacterial SSU rRNA". It matches the Rfam family "Bacterial small subunit ribosomal RNA", at positions 199 to 715 of the family's 1533-position model. Lineage: Bacteria; Bacillati; Cyanobacteriota; Cyanophyceae; Nostocales; Aphanizomenonaceae. The record is from RNAcentral.
GGUGAAAGGCUUGCUGCCUGAAGAAGAGCUUGCGUCUGAUUAGCUAGUUGGUAGUGUAAGAGACUACCAAGGCGACGAUCAGUAGCUGGUCUGAGAGGAUGAUCAGCCACACUGGGACUGAGACACGGCCCAGACUCCUACGGGAGGCAGCAGUGGGGAAUUUUCCGCAAUGGGCGAAAGCCUGACGGAGCAAUACCGCGUGAGGGAGGAAGGCUCUUGGGUUGUAAACCUCUUUUCUCAGGGAAGAACAGAAUGACGGUACCUGAGGAAUAAGCAUCGGCUAACUCCGUGCCAGCAGCCGCGGUAAUACGGAGGAUGCAAGCGUUAUCCGGAAUGAUUGGGCGUAAAGRGUCCGYAGGUGGCAUUGAAAGUCUGCUGUUAAAGAGUCUAGCUCAACYAGAUAAGAGCAGUGGAAACUACAAAGCUAGAGUUUGGUCGGGGCAGAAGGAAUUCCUGGUGUAGCGGUGAAAUGCGUAGAUAUCAGGAAGAACACCGGUGG